RNAcentral lists this transfer RNA (57 nucleotides) under Pteropus alecto (black flying fox). It matches the Rfam family "tRNA", at positions 1 to 55 of the family's 71-position model. From Rfam's summary of the family: Transfer RNA (tRNA) molecules are approximately 80 nucleotides in length. Their secondary structure includes four short double-helical elements and three loops (D, anti-codon, and T loops). Lineage: Eukaryota; Metazoa; Chordata; Mammalia; Chiroptera; Pteropodidae. The record is from Rfam by way of RNAcentral.
GGCUCCAUAGUGUAGUGGUUAGCACAUCUGCUUUACAAGCAGAAGGUACUGGGUUUG